This 1530-nucleotide ribosomal RNA is filed under the name Shigella flexneri 1485-80. RNAcentral's name for it is "16S ribosomal RNA". Lineage: Bacteria; Pseudomonadati; Pseudomonadota; Gammaproteobacteria; Enterobacterales; Enterobacteriaceae. The record is from RNAcentral.
AGGUGAUCCAACCGCAGGUUCCCCUACGGUUACCUUGUUACGACUUCACCCCAGUCAUGAAUCACAAAGUGGUAAGCGCCCUCCCGAAGGUUAAGCUACCUACUUCUUUUGCAACCCACUCCCAUGGUGUGACGGGCGGUGUGUACAAGGCCCGGGAACGUAUUCACCGUGGCAUUCUGAUCCACGAUUACUAGCGAUUCCGACUUCAUGGAGUCGAGUUGCAGACUCCAAUCCGGACUACGACGCACUUUAUGAGGUCCGCUUGCUCUCGCGAGGUCGCUUCUCUUUGUAUGCGCCAUUGUAGCACGUGUGUAGCCCUGGUCGUAAGGGCCAUGAUGACUUGACGUCGUCCCCACCUUCCUCCAGUUUAUCACUGGCAGUCUCCUUUGAGUUCCCGGCCGGACCGCUGGCAACAAAGGAUAAGGGUUGCGCUCGUUGCGGGACUUAACCCAACAUUUCACAACACGAGCUGACGACAGCCAUGCAGCACCUGUCUCACGGUUCCCGAAGGCACAUUCUCAUCUCUGAAAACUUCCGUGGAUGUCAAGACCAGGUAAGGUUCUUCGCGUUGCAUCGAAUUAAACCACAUGCUCCACCGCUUGUGCGGGCCCCCGUCAAUUCAUUUGAGUUUUAACCUUGCGGCCGUACUCCCCAGGCGGUCGACUUAACGCGUUAGCUCCGGAAGCCACGCCUCAAGGGCACAACCUCCAAGUCGACAUCGUUUACGGCGUGGACUACCAGGGUAUCUAAUCCUGUUUGCUCCCCACGCUUUCGCACCUGAGCGUCAGUCUUCGUCCAGGGGGCCGCCUUCGCCACCGGUAUUCCUCCAGAUCUCUACGCAUUUCACCGCUACACCUGGAAUUCUACCCCCCUCUACGAGACUCAAGCUUGCCAGUAUCAGAUGCAGUUCCCAGGUUGAGCCCGGGGAUUUCACAUCUGACUUAACAAACCGCCUGCGUGCGCUUUACGCCCAGUAAUUCCGAUUAACGCUUGCACCCUCCGUAUUACCGCGGCUGCUGGCACGGAGUUAGCCGGUGCUUCUUCUGCGGGUAACGUCAAUGAGCAAAGGUAUUAACUUUACUCCCUUCCUCCCCGCUGAAAGUACUUUACAACCCGAAGGCCUUCUUCAUACACGCGGCAUGGCUGCAUCAGGCUUGCGCCCAUUGUGCAAUAUUCCCCACUGCUGCCUCCCGUAGGAGUCUGGACCGUGUCUCAGUUCCAGUGUGGCUGGUCAUCCUCUCAGACCAGCUAGGGAUCGUCGCCUUGGUGAGCCGUUACCCCACCAACAAGCUAAUCCCAUCUGGGCACAUCCGAUGGCAAGAGGCCCGAAGGUCCCCCUCUUUGGUCUUGCGACAUUAUGCGGUAUUAGCUACCGUUUCCAGUAGUUAUCCCCCUCCAUCAGGCAGUUUCCCAGACAUUACUCACCCGUCCGCCACUCGUCAGCGAAUCAGCAAGCUGAUUCCUGUUACCGUUCGACUUGCAUGUGUUAGGCCUGCCGCCAGCGUUCAAUCUGAGCCAUGAUCAAACUCU